GGUAAAUAUAACAUUAAGAGGAUUUCUGCACUGCAACACAUGUAACGACUCAAGAGAAUGUCAUCACUGGUACCUGAUGUCUGCGAUGCUGCUUAAGAGGCACUAGCCAUCGAUUCUAUAAGGAGCUUGUAACCUUCUGGGACAGCUGACUGUGUAAGCACACAUUCUGCCAAUGCAGGAACAUCUGCAUUAAUGUCCAGAAAUUUCGCCAGCAACAGUAGCAGAUGGAAAUCUGAGAUUCGCUUCACAAAAGAAAGACUCUUUGUUCGAUUGAAAUGAUCUUUCAAUGCAUUCAUGCUCACUGGAAUAAUCCUGUUUUCAAUGGGAAAUGAUGAAGAAAGUGGACCCUGGUGAUCCGCAAUCUUGACAACAACCAAGAAGAAGUCGUUAUCAACUUCUCUUGUGUCCUUGACUCCUACCACCACAUCUUUCUUCAUCUUGGAAAGCUUUGGAUCAAUCUCAUCCUUAACAUCCGUCUCAAACCAGCCUUCCUUGAACAAUCUCACACACAUAUCACUCAUCUGAAAAGCCUCAAAAUGUACAUCGGCAGCGCCAUCGUCAUUCACCUCAAGCUUCACUAUAGCGGUCACCCAUUCCUUCAAAUCACCCUCCGAAUGUAACUCAGCUGCCUGUAAGACCUCUGCAGUUGACAUAGUGUAAUCCUUUUUAUCCUGACUAAUUGUCUGAGUAAAUAUAAACCCUACUUUCCUCAUCCCUAAUCCAAUAGCUAUAGCAUCCACCAAUUUCUCCUCAUCAGGAUCGCGUAGAAGCAACAAAUUUUCCUCGGUCCCUUGCUGGGGCGGCUCAUAAAUAAAAUGGACUUCCACUUUGCCUUCAGGGGAUACUGUACCAUACAUAAAACCACCCCUUUUGACAGCAAAGGCGAGUGUUUCAUUGACAUAAUGUUGAAAGGCAUUGGCGGCAUCACGAUCGAAGGAAACGAGUUCGCAGUGAGGGUUCUCUUGUCUAGUAACUCGCAUUUGUUUAGCAAUUAGGUCGUCCAUGGUCAUCUUUCUACCGAAUGAACCGGCGGGCUGUACGGUGGGACCGGGAAUUGUGCGCUCACCCUGGUAAGCAAGAUAAAGGAUAGAACCGUGAGUAAGAUUGAAAGAGGAGAUGGGUGUAUGAGGGUUGUCCAUAUCAGUGAAGCGAGACCAAUCAUCUGGGGUUUUAGCGAGCAAAAGGUUCUGAUUGGAAGAUAGGGUUUGCGAUUGAACUGGAACUCGAAGUUGGGAUUCGAUUUGGGACUUGAGUUGGGCAAUUGUGGCAUGUGGGUUGUCAAUUGUGACUCGCUCUAACCCAUCUCUGCUUCUGAUUCUGAUCAUCAUCUUGGUUGUAUUCCUAUGGUGAUUGAUAUGUUUAGUGCAGGUGAAUCUGUAUGGAAGUUGGGGAGGACCGUCGAAGAAGAAAGGAAGUAGAA
This 1420-nucleotide unclassified non-coding RNA is filed under the name Hevea brasiliensis (rubber tree). The record is from RNAcentral. Lineage: Eukaryota; Viridiplantae; Streptophyta; Magnoliopsida; Malpighiales; Euphorbiaceae.